This is a long non-coding RNA of Paramisgurnus dabryanus, 860 nucleotides long. RefSeq lists it as uncharacterized. Lineage: Eukaryota; Metazoa; Chordata; Actinopteri; Cypriniformes; Cobitidae. The record is from RefSeq and is a predicted model, not a curated record.
AGAAGAACAAAAAUGACCGGGAAAAUCUGACAGGACUGAGAAGAUGACAACAGCACAGCGGGGUUUUAGACGCCCAUCAGAGUGAUUUUCUGAGUUCUUUCACAUGAUGUAUGGUCAGCGAAUGGAUGGAUUAUCCAGUCAAGGUACAGAAUGAAAGACUUGACUGAGUUAGAAGAAGCUGGGCGACUCUUCAGAGUGAAGAUGUUAUGAUGCAGUUAUGUCAAAGCACUCGUUUCAGCUGGCCAGAUUGGAACAGACCUGAAUGGGAAGAUGGCAGAGCUAAGACUGACAAUGUCCAGGAAAAAUGUUAACUAAAAAUGAGUGUUUUUCCUCAGCGAGUGAGUUUGGGAAUGUUUUAAAUGUGCCUAAAAGUUUGAAAAUGUAAUACUGAGGGAAAAAAAGGGAGCGCUUUGAAAAGGCUUUAAAAAGAAAAUAAAGUCUGAAGUUGAUGGUAAAUGAAUUUAAAGUUUUUACUUGAAAAGAUUGUACUUGUUUGUACUUGUCAAGUCUGUGCUGAAAAAAAUGGAGUAAAGUUUGUAUUUGAAAAGACUUGGAAUUGUGUGUUCUGUAGAAUGAGUACACAUAUAUGUGCAGGCUGUAUAAAAAACAUAGUUGUGCCACUAAUAUAAGUGAAAGUACAUGGUGUCAUCAUAUUUGAAGCAUAUUUGUAUCCCUAAUAUAAGUGAAAGUACAUGGUGUCAUCAUAUUAGAAGCAUAUUUGUAUCCCUAAUAUAAGUGAAGGUACAUGGUGUCAUCAUAUUUUAAGCAUAUUUGUAUCCCUAAUAUAAGUGAAAGUACAUGGUGGCAUCAUAUAAGAAGCAUAUUUGUAUCCCUAAUAUAAGUGAAAGUACAUGGUGGCA